This is a long non-coding RNA of Lolium perenne, 1892 nucleotides long. RefSeq lists it as uncharacterized. The record is from RefSeq and is a predicted model, not a curated record. NCBI's taxonomy places the organism in Eukaryota, Viridiplantae, Streptophyta, Magnoliopsida, Poales, Poaceae.
AAACCCACGACUAGACGAAAGAAAACCGAAAUAAAUGGGAAAUAACAACUGCCGCCACCCACGCACGCAUGUCUCAUCCAUCCAGACCACGAGUAUCAUUCAUACGCCACCGCCGAACCUACCUUGGCUCACGCCAUAUCAAACUUUUCGUCUCCUUUCUAUCUCGCUGACACCGCUCACGGCGACGACGGCGGAGAAAUUAACCUUGUCGAUGACGCCACAGCCCAUAGUUGCAGGGAGGAAGGGAAGAGAGCUCACCAUGGACGCCCUGCUCGCCAUGGCCAUGCCCAUGGAGGAAGGGAGAGCCACCAGCAGGGGAGGAGAAGUAAGCUAUCUGCGCGCACAGAAGAUCCAGAUCGGAGGGGAGGCGGCGCCUGAGCGCGAGAACGUCCGGUGGAGUUGCGAUUUGACCAACGGCAAUUGACGCCAUCCCUGAUGGUUGCUUUUGGGACUGGGCUCAAUCGUAAUCGAAUCUGGUUACCUUUUACUGCCAUCACCAUUUGAUCGAUUAAAUCGGAAAGAGAAAAUGGGAAGAUGGUACUACGAGGGGGAGUACUACGUUUAUUCUGAUCUAAAAAAGCUACAUUUGUUCUUGUAAAGACCUUAUUACAUACAGAAUCCCUUUCUACGAACUGCAGGCCGGAUCAUGAAAUUGGUGGCGACCUCACUGCCUGGCACCGAGCAACGUAAAUUGACCACCCGCCUUUCCAUCGCGAGCUUCUACAAGAGAAGUGAAUUGUUGCAUAUUUGUUGUGGAGCGGGAGAAGAAUAACAGUAUAGGUUAUGUACGAUGAUUCUUCCAUUGCAAGCCCCUACAACUACAAGAGAAGUGAAUUGUUGCAUGUUUGUUGUGGAGCUGGACAAAAAAGUGUUACAUAUUUUUUGUAUGUUAGUUUAACACUUUUUAUUUUUUUUUCUUGUAGUUGCCGACCUUGCUACGUUUCUCUUAGUUGUUGCUUUUUCUACUGUCACAGUUUAAUCAGUGGUGUUCUCUUGUUUUUAUGGACCUUUGCAGGGUGGAUGCUGGGCUAGGAUGGCGAAGUGGACUGAUGCGUAUGAUCUUCAUGCUAGAAAUCAGAUACUGAUGAUCGCAAUAUCACCCACACCGACGGAAACCCCUGUGGCGUGAAAUCAACGAUUGAUCACCGAUCACCUGUGGUUUCAUGGGAAAGCAGGAAUAACCACCUCGGUGCAGGAAAUGCUCAUAUCUACAGCGGUACUUAGCGUUGUCGCCUACAACAAUUUCUUCCUGGCAUCCCAGUUGGCAGGAAAAGCUCUAUCGCUCUGGGUUAGUCCUUCUUGGGCUUGCUACAGGGACAGAGUAAUAUUACUGAAAAAAGAGUUACUAGACGCUGAAAAAAAAAUACUCGGCAUAAUAUUUGUGAAUUUUGAUAGAAAUAUUGACUUUUUCCUGGAUCGGAGUGAUAGGCUCGUUGCAGACGUAGUCCUUGCGAAGCGGAGCCAAAAGAGAUGCUAGACAAAAAUAAUACUGAGUUGCCAGAUAAAGACGCUACCUCUGCAUUGUCGUGGUAGCCAAAUACUGGUAAAAAUUUAUCAGGUGCUGCAUGGUCUUCCUCCAUUAUCCAUCCACCGGUUCUGGUUGUGAGAACGAUUGGCCAGCAAUUUUUUCUAGCGUCGAUUGGACAACACCACAAUGUAUGGCAUGUCACAGUUAAUCAGCUGUGCGGCAGUAAAAGGAGAAGAGGAAGGGAGACAAUCUUAUGAUUUGUGAGGGUACCUUAUGAUUUGUGAGGGUCAUGUUGAAACGAAAAGCUGAAAUAAAGUUUGUUGUUACAUGUUAGGGUGCAGGUUUAUGACUGUAAGAGAGGUGGAAGUUAAAAUAUAAUUCCAACAAAGUUAUAUUGUCAACUUGUUUAUCGUUUCUAAGCACA